Molecule: unclassified non-coding RNA, 235 nt
Filed under: uncultured fungus
Lineage: Eukaryota; Fungi
Description: sequence contains ITS1
Source: RNAcentral
GUAGAGCACCGCAUCUCGGAAUUUCCGCAGACGGUCAUGAACAUCCUGGACUCGGGCGGGAUCAUGCAGCUUCUGAAAAAGCGCGCCGAUGCCGAGCUCUCAUCCUGAGUUUCCUAUUCUCUCCGCGCGCACGUAACGUGGUAAUUGGCCCCAUGCACAUUCCGGUGAUCGACCGUAUCGAGGUCACACCGUUCCAGAUUCCGUUCGCGACCUUCCUGCGUUCGGGUCAGCAGAU